UACGGGGGGGGCAAGCGUUGUCCGGAGUUACUGGGCGUAAAGGGCGUGUAGGCGGCUUUUUAAGUCAGAUGUGAAAGAUCAGGGCUUAACCCUGGAGGUGCAUUUGAGACUGGAAGGCUUGAGGAUCGGAGAGGGCAGUGGAAUUCCCAGUGUAGCGGUGAAAUGCGUAGAUAUUGGGAGGAACACCAGUGGCGAAGGCGACUGCCUGGACGACACCUGACGCUGAGGCGCGAAAGCUAGGGGAGCGAACGGG
This 253-nucleotide ribosomal RNA is filed under the name uncultured bacterium. RNAcentral's name for it is "partial 16S ribosomal RNA". It matches the Rfam family "Bacterial small subunit ribosomal RNA", at positions 524 to 776 of the family's 1533-position model. The record is from RNAcentral.